GCGAGUUGGUGCUAAUCCUAGAAAUUUCUUCGUAGUCCGGAUUGGAGUCUGCAACUCGACUCCAUGAAGUCGGAAUCGCUAGUAAUCGCGAAUCAGCAUGUCGCGGUGAAUACGUUCUCGGGUCUUGUACACACCGCCCGUCACACCAUGGAAGUGGAUUGCACCAGAAGUAGAUAGUCUAACCUUCGGGAGGGCGUUUACCACGGUGUGCUUCAUGACUGGGGUGAAGUCGUAACAAGGUAGCCGUAGGGGAACCUGUGGCUGGAUCACCUCCUU
RNAcentral lists this ribosomal RNA (276 nucleotides) under uncultured SAR86 cluster bacterium. Its description in RNAcentral is "partial 16S ribosomal RNA". It matches the Rfam family "Bacterial small subunit ribosomal RNA", at positions 1257 to 1532 of the family's 1533-position model. Lineage: Bacteria; Pseudomonadati; Pseudomonadota; Gammaproteobacteria. The record is from RNAcentral.